This 497-nucleotide unclassified non-coding RNA is filed under the name uncultured Glomus. RNAcentral's name for it is "SSU rRNA". It matches the Rfam family "Eukaryotic small subunit ribosomal RNA", at positions 569 to 1073 of the family's 1831-position model. The record is from RNAcentral. Lineage: Eukaryota; Fungi; Glomeromycota; Glomeromycetes; Glomerales; Glomeraceae.
AGCAGCCGCGGUAAUUCCAGCUCCAAUAGCGUAUAUUAAAGUUGUUGCAGUUAAAAAGCUCGUAGUUGAAUUUCGGGAUCAAUAUGUUGGUCGUGCCUCGGUACGUACUAGCUUAUUGGUUUCUCCUUUCUGAAGAACCAUGAUGUCAUUUAUUUGGUGUCGUGGGGAAUCAGGACUGUUACUUUGAAAAAAUUAGAGUGUUUAAAGCAGGCUCACGCUUGAAUACAUUAGCAUGGAAUAAUGAAAUAGGACGUUUGAUUCUAUUUUGUUGGUUUCUAGGAUCGACGUAAUGAUUAAUAGGGAUAGUUGGGGCAUUAGUAUUCAAUUGUCAGAGGUGAAAUUCUUGGAUUUAUUGAAGACUAACUACUGCGAAAGCAUUUGCCAAGGAUGUUUUCAUUAAUCAAGAACGAAAGUCAGGGGAUCGAAGACGAUCAGAUACCGUCGUAGUCUUAACCAUAAACUAUGCCGACUAGGGAUCGGAUGAUGUUAAUUUUUUU